RNAcentral lists this ribosomal RNA (174 nucleotides) under Lysinibacillus sp. A1. Its description in RNAcentral is "partial 23S ribosomal RNA". It matches the Rfam family "Bacterial large subunit ribosomal RNA", at positions 2754 to 2925 of the family's 2925-position model. The record is from RNAcentral. Lineage: Bacteria; Bacillati; Bacillota; Bacilli; Caryophanales; Bacillaceae.
UGUGGACGGGAUAAGUGCUGAAAGCAUCUAAGCAUGAAGCCCCCCUCAAGAUGAGAUUUCCCAUUACGCAAGUAAGUAAGAUCCCUCAAAGACGAUGAGGUAGAUAGGUUCGAGGUGGAAGUGUGGUGACACAUGGAGCUGACGAAUACUAAUCGAUCGAGGACUUAACCAAAA